This is a long non-coding RNA of Jaculus jaculus (lesser Egyptian jerboa), 310 nucleotides long. RefSeq lists it as uncharacterized. The record is from RefSeq and is a predicted model, not a curated record. NCBI's taxonomy places the organism in Eukaryota, Metazoa, Chordata, Mammalia, Rodentia, Dipodidae. The transcript has 3 exons.
GGUGGUGGGGAAGAACAGGAACCGAGGAGCGAUCGGCCAGGGAGAAAGAAUGAGAGAGAGAGAAAGAGAGAGAGACAGAGGAAGGGAAACCAGAAGAGGAGGAGGAGAAGGACAGAGUCUCCUGCCACAGGGAAGAACUGAGCGACUCAUGAAAGAUUUCAUAUGAUAUAGUUUUCCAAGCAGGAGUCAAGAACAUGAUAAAGCAACUUCCUAGGCCAUAUUAUAUUAGACAGCAAGCUGCCUUCUUUAUUAUGAGGGUAAAUAAUAUCCACAAGCUUCAGAAACACCUAAUUUUGUUAUUAUAUUCUCA